This 300-nucleotide ribosomal RNA is filed under the name uncultured bacterium. RNAcentral describes it as "bacterial SSU rRNA". It matches the Rfam family "Bacterial small subunit ribosomal RNA", at positions 399 to 691 of the family's 1533-position model. The record is from RNAcentral.
GCGUGUGUGAAGAAGGCCUUCGGGUUGUAAAGCACUUUCAGUGGGGAGGAAAAGCUUGAGGUUAAUACCCUCGGGUCUUGACGUUAUCCACAGAAGAAGCACCGGCUAACUCCGUGCCAGCAGCCGCGGUAAUACGGAGGGUGCAAGCGUUAAUCGGAAUUACUGGGCGUAAAGCGUGCGUAGGUGGUUUAUUAAGUCAGAUGUGAAAGCCCCGGGCUCAACCUGGGAACUGCAUUUGAUACUGGUAAACUAGAGUUUGGUAGAGGGAAGUGGAAUUCCUAGUGUAGCGGUGAAAUGCGU